ACGGUGGAGCAUGUGGUUUAAUUCGAUGCAACGCGAAGAACCUUACCUGGGCUUGACAUCCCGAGAAUCUCUUGGAAACAGGAGAGUGCCCUUCGGGGAACUCGGUGACAGGUGCUGCAUGGCUGUCGUCAGCUCGUGUCGUGAGAUGUUGGGUUAAGUCCCGCAACGAGCGCAACCCUUGUCUUUAGUUGCCAUCAUUAAGUUGGGCACUCUAAAGAGACUGCCGAUGACAAAUCGGAGGAAGGUGGGGAUGACGUCAAAUCAUCAUGCCCUUUAUGUCCUGGGCUACACACGUGCUACAAUGGUCGGUACAACGAGAAGCAAGCCAGCGAUGGCAAGCAAAUCUCUAAAAGCCGAUCCCAGUUCGGAUUGCAGGCUGCAACUCGCCUGCAUGAAGUCGGAGUUGCUAGUAAUCGCGGAUCAGAAUGCCGCGGUGAAUGCGUUCCCGGGUCUU
This 454-nucleotide ribosomal RNA is filed under the name uncultured Eubacteriales bacterium. RNAcentral's name for it is "bacterial SSU rRNA". It matches the Rfam family "Bacterial small subunit ribosomal RNA", at positions 929 to 1382 of the family's 1533-position model. The record is from RNAcentral. Lineage: Bacteria; Bacillati; Bacillota; Clostridia; Eubacteriales.